CGGGAUAACACCUGGAAACAGAUGCUAAUACCGGAUAACAACAGAUGAUGCCUAUCAACUGUUUAAAAGAUGGUUCUGCUAUCACUCUUGGAUGGACCUGCGGUGCAUUAGCUAGUUGGUAAGGUAACGGCCUACCAAGGCGAUGAUGCAUAGCCGAGUUGAGAGACUGAUCGGCCACAUUGGGACUGAGACACGGCCCAAACUCCUACGGGAGGCAGCAGCU
Molecule: ribosomal RNA, 223 nt
Filed under: uncultured Lactobacillus sp.
Lineage: Bacteria; Bacillati; Bacillota; Bacilli; Lactobacillales; Lactobacillaceae
Description: partial 16S ribosomal RNA
Rfam family: Bacterial small subunit ribosomal RNA
Source: RNAcentral